This 61-nucleotide transfer RNA is filed under the name Bacillus cereus. Its description in RNAcentral is "tRNA-Ile". It matches the Rfam family "tRNA". Rfam says of the family: Transfer RNA (tRNA) molecules are approximately 80 nucleotides in length. The record is from RNAcentral. RNAcentral also lists the same sequence under 1 other name. Lineage: Bacteria; Bacillati; Bacillota; Bacilli; Caryophanales; Bacillaceae.
GGACCUUUAGCUCAGCUGGUUAGAGCAAACGGCUCAUAACCGUUCGGUCCUACAAGGUCCA